AUUCCGGAGAGGGAGCCUGAGAAAUGGCUACCACUUCUACGGAAGGCAGCAGGCGCGCAAAUUACUCAAUCCCAAUACGGGGAAGUAGUGACAAAAAAUACUAAUGCCUUUCCAUUUAUAUGGGGGGCAAUUGGAAUAAGUACAACUUAAAUCGCUUAGCAAAAGUGAUUGGAGGGCAAGUCUGGUGCCAGCAGCCGCGGUAAUUCCAGCUCCAAUAGCGUAUACUAAAUUUGUUGCAGUUAAAAAGCUCGUAGUUGAGAUUGAGAUUUCUUAGGUUUAGAGUCGCUUGGCCUUCGGGUUUGAGUUUGAUUCGUAAAGCUCUAUAGUAGAAUUCCAUUUUAUUAUUAGGGUUACUAAGAAAUUUCUAUCUGCCCAUGGUAGCUAGCAAUAGUUAUCAAUCGGGUGAUCUACUGUGAGAAAAUUGUAGUGUUCAAAGCAGGCGUCUUACGUUUGUUCAAUGCAGCAUGGUAUAGUAAAAUAUGACACUAAAUAUAUGUUGGUUGUAUAUUCUUAGUGUAAUGACUAAUAGGGAAGGGCGGGGCCGUUCAUAUUGGG
This 555-nucleotide ribosomal RNA is filed under the name Heterostelium pallidum. RNAcentral describes it as "SSU rRNA". It matches the Rfam family "Eukaryotic small subunit ribosomal RNA", at positions 380 to 901 of the family's 1831-position model. The record is from RNAcentral. Lineage: Eukaryota; Evosea; Eumycetozoa; Acytosteliales; Acytosteliaceae.